UACGAAGGGGGCUAGCGUUGUUCGGAAUUACUGGGCGUAAAGGGCGCGUAGGUGGUUUAUCAAGUCAGGCGUGAAAGCCCUGGGCUCAACCCGGGAAUUGCGCUUGAUACUGAUAGGCUUGAGUUUGAGAGAGGUAAGCGGAAUUCCCAGUGUAGAGGUGAAAUUCGUAGAUAUUGGGAAGAACACCGGUGGCGAAGGCGACUUACUGGAUCAACACUGACACUGAGGCGCGAAAGCGUGGGGAUCAAAC
RNAcentral lists this ribosomal RNA (250 nucleotides) under uncultured bacterium. Its description in RNAcentral is "partial 16S ribosomal RNA". It matches the Rfam family "Bacterial small subunit ribosomal RNA", at positions 524 to 773 of the family's 1533-position model. The record is from RNAcentral.